Pelobates cultripes (western spadefoot toad) is the source of this 806-nucleotide non-coding RNA. NCBI's taxonomy places the organism in Eukaryota, Metazoa, Chordata, Amphibia, Anura, Pelobatidae. The record is from the annotation of a GenBank genome assembly.
UCAAAUUGAAACACAGGAUUGUGGAGAAUUUAGCAAUGUUAUAUUAAGUGUUACAGAUUCAAAUUCUUCAAAUAACAUAGAAGAAACUGCCAGUAAUUUAUCAUUGUUGUUUGGUCAGUAUGAAAAAUGUCUGCGUACUGUGGAUAUUUAUAUUAAGGAAUAUUCACCUCAACUGAGAGACAAAAUUAUUGAAGAAAUAUCACACUGGGUAAAGACUGCAAAAAAUAUGAGAACAGUAUAUGAAGAUCAUGUACAUCUGAUUGGGCCAUCGGAUUCCAUCUCAGUGUUUAUGCAACACUGGAAAAAAACGGAAAUCAUCCAUAAAAGGGCAAACCAAAAAAUAAGAGUAGAAAAAGUGAAAGAAAAUGUCCCCCUCAGUGAGAUUGGUAGAUUAACCCAAGAGAAGAGUGUAAAAAUGGAAAAAGAAAAGGAAAUAUCUCAGAGUGAAACGCGUGGGGCAACCCAAAAGAGGGUGGAAAGAUUAAAGGAAAAGGAAAAAGUUCCUCAAAGUGAAAUGAGUGGGAUACGGCAUGAAGAGUGCAGAAAAAGUGAAAGAAAAGGAGAGUGAAAUGCGUCGGUUAAACAAAGCAAGUAGUGUAGAAACAGUGACCAUGGAUGAUCAUCAUGCAUCCCUUGUACUCAGAACUUCCUCAUAUUCCCUCAAUCACUGAGUGUCCACGAAACAAAGAGUCCAUACACCCGACACGUCUGAGUCACGGAGAAGAAGUGCAGCAAAUGGGUCAACAAACAAAAUGAUGACACCAAGCAGGAAACUGAACCCCAGCCCUACACGGUCUAACCAAAAC